This 224-nucleotide long non-coding RNA is filed under the name Mytilus galloprovincialis (Mediterranean mussel). The record is from RNAcentral. Lineage: Eukaryota; Metazoa; Mollusca; Bivalvia; Mytilida; Mytilidae.
UUUUUAGUUUUAAUGAAUUUCAUGAAUGGUCUUAUGCAAAAUAUGCCUUCAUGACAGAAGGAUGCAGGUAAAAAUAAUAUUCAUCAUUUAUUGAUGAGGUUGGAUGUUAGCCGGCAAGGUAACUACAGUAAUUUUAACAGAAUAUGUGUUGAUCUUGUGUAAUAGAACAAAUAUUUGAAAAACGCCAAUUUCCAGAAUAAAUCGAUUUCUUUUUCAUUUUUUUU